This 337-nucleotide unclassified non-coding RNA is filed under the name soil metagenome. RNAcentral describes it as "partial contains 5.8S ribosomal RNA, internal transcribed spacer 2, and large subunit ribosomal RNA". The stretch from base 1 to 120 matches the Rfam family "5.8S ribosomal RNA", at positions 35 to 154 of the family's 154-position model. The record is from RNAcentral.
GAUGAAGAACGUAGCGAAAUGCGAUAAGUAGUGUGAAUUGCAGAAUUCAGUGAAUCAUCGAAUCUUUGAACGCACAUUGCGCCCCUUGGUAUUCCAUGGGGCAUGCCUGUUCGAGCGUCAUUUGUACCUUCAAGCUCUGCUUGGUGUUGGGUGUUUGUCUCGCCUCUGCGUGUAGACUCGCCUCAAAAUAAUUGGCAGCCGGCGUAUUGAUUUCGGAGCGCAGUACAUCUCGCGCUUUGCACUCAUAACGACGAAGUCCAAAAGUACAUUUUUACACUCUUGACCUCGGAUCAGGUAGGGAUACCCGCUGAACUUAAGCAUAUCAAUAAGCGGAGGA